This 417-nucleotide ribosomal RNA is filed under the name uncultured bacterium. RNAcentral's name for it is "bacterial SSU rRNA". It matches the Rfam family "Bacterial small subunit ribosomal RNA", at positions 224 to 633 of the family's 1533-position model. The record is from RNAcentral.
GGAGCGGCGAUGCCUGAUUAGCUAGUUGGUAAGGUAAUGGCUUACCAAGGCAACGAUCAGUAGCUGGUCUGAGAGGACGACCAGCCACACUGGGACUGAGACACGGCCCAGACUCCUACGGGAGGCAGCAGUGGGGAAUUUUGGACAAUGGGCGAAAGCCUGAUCCAGCCAUGCCGCGUGAGUGAAGAAGGCCUUCGGGUUGUAAAGCUCUUUCGGUCGGGAAGAAAUAGUUGUGGCUAAUAUCCACAAUGAAUGACGGUACCGACAUAAGAAGCACCGGCUAACUACGUGCCAGCAGCCGCGGUAAUACGUAGGGUGCAAGCGUUAAUCGGAAUUAUUGGGCGUAAAGGGUGCGCAGGCGGUUGUAUAAGUCAGAUGUGAAAUCCCUGGGCUUAACCUAGGAAUUGCGUUUGAAAC